GGCUCGUUGGUCUAGGGGUAUGAUUCUCGCUUUGGGUGCGAGAGGCCCCAGGUUCGAAUCCCGGACGAGCCC
This 72-nucleotide transfer RNA is filed under the name Gigantopelta aegis. RNAcentral's name for it is "tRNA-Pro". It matches the Rfam family "tRNA". From Rfam's summary of the family: Transfer RNA (tRNA) molecules are approximately 80 nucleotides in length. Their secondary structure includes four short double-helical elements and three loops (D, anti-codon, and T loops). Lineage: Eukaryota; Metazoa; Mollusca; Gastropoda; Neomphalida; Peltospiridae. The record is from RNAcentral.